Molecule: ribosomal RNA, 555 nt
Filed under: uncultured Alcanivorax sp.
Lineage: Bacteria; Pseudomonadati; Pseudomonadota; Gammaproteobacteria; Oceanospirillales; Alcanivoracaceae
Description: bacterial SSU rRNA
Rfam family: Bacterial small subunit ribosomal RNA
Source: RNAcentral
CUACCAUGCAAGUCCAGCGGAAACGAUGAAGUGCUUGCACUUCACGCGUCGAGCGGCGGACGGGUGAGUAACGCGUGAGAAUCUGCCCAUCAGUGGGGGAUAACUCGGGGAAACUCGAGCUAAUACCGCAUACGUCCUACGGGACAAAGCAGGGGACCUUUUGGCCUUGCGCUGAUGGAUGAGCUCGCGUCGGAUUAGCUUGUUGGUGAGGUAAAGGCUCACCAAGGCGACGAUCCGUAGCUGGUCUGAGAGGAUGAUCAGCCACACCGGGACUGAGACACGGCCCGGACUCCUACGGGAGGCAGCAGUGGGGAAUCUUGGACAAUGGGGGCAACCCUGAUCCAGCCAUGCCGCGUGUGUGAAGAAGGCCUUCGGGUUGUAAAGCACUUUCAGUAGGGAGGAAGGCUUUGGGCUAAUACCCUGAAGUACUUGACGUUACCUACAGAAGAAGCACCGGCUAAUUUCGUGCCAGCAGCCGCGGUAAUACGAAAGGUGCAAGCGUUAAUCGGAAUUACUGGGCGUAAAGCGCGCGUAGGCGGUGUGUUAAGUCGGAUG